UCGCAUGUGGAAAUAAGUCUGCUCCUCAUUUCUUUGGGAGCAGGAAUACAUCCAUAACAUGCUACAUUAAAAAAAGGAGUUCUCAGGGCUGCCAACCUUACAGUAGAGGUUGAGUAGUAGUAUAUUUCUCCUACAUAA
Pteropus vampyrus (large flying fox) is the source of this 138-nucleotide small nucleolar RNA. Lineage: Eukaryota; Metazoa; Chordata; Mammalia; Chiroptera; Pteropodidae. The record is from Ensembl.